RNAcentral lists this ribosomal RNA (429 nucleotides) under uncultured Gammaproteobacteria bacterium. RNAcentral's name for it is "bacterial SSU rRNA". It matches the Rfam family "Bacterial small subunit ribosomal RNA", at positions 355 to 776 of the family's 1533-position model. Lineage: Bacteria; Pseudomonadati; Pseudomonadota; Gammaproteobacteria. The record is from RNAcentral.
UGGGGAAUCUUGGACAAUGGGCGCAAGCCUGAUCCAGCGAUGCCGCGUGGGUGAAGACGGCCUGCGGGUUGUAAAGCCCUUUUGGUGGGGAAGAAAGGCGGGGUAUGAACAGUGCCCGGCUGUGACGUUACCCACAGAAGAAGCACCGGCUAACUCCGUGCCAGCAGCCGCGGUAAUACGGAGGGUGCGAGCGUUAAUCGAAAUUACUGGGCGUAAAGCGCGCGUAGGUGGUCAAGGCAGUCAGCUGUGAAAGCCCCGGGCUUAACCUGGGAAUGGCAGUUGAGACUUCUUGACUGGAGUGUGAGCGAGGACCGUGGAAUUCCCGGUGUAGCGGUGAAAUGCGUAGAGAUCGGGAAGAACACCGAUGGCGAAGGCAGCGGUCUGGAUCGACACUGACGCUGAGGCGCGAAAGCGUGGGGAGCAAACAGG